RNAcentral lists this ribosomal RNA (479 nucleotides) under uncultured bacterium. RNAcentral describes it as "partial 16S ribosomal RNA". It matches the Rfam family "Bacterial small subunit ribosomal RNA", at positions 28 to 507 of the family's 1533-position model. The record is from RNAcentral.
GAUGAACGCUAGCGGGAGGCCUAACACAUGCAAGCCGAGCGGUAUGGGUAGCUUGCUACCCAGAGAGCGGCGUACGGGUGCGUAACACGUGUGCAACCUGCCCCUAUCCGGGGGAUAGCCCUCCGAAAGGAGGAUUAAUACCCCAUAAUAUAUCUGGUGGCAUCACUAGAUAUUGAAAACCCCGGUGGAUAGGGAUGGGCACGCGCAAGAUUAGAUAGUUGGCGGGGUAACGGCCCACCAAGUCGAUGAUCUUUAGGGGUCCUGAGAGGGAGAUCCCCCACACUGGUACUGAGACACGGACCAGACUCCUACGGGAGGCAGCAGUGAGGAAUAUUGGACAAUGGGUGGAAGCCUGAUCCAGCCAGCCCGCGUGAGGGACGACGGCCCUAUGGGUGGUAAACCUCUUUUGUACGGGGAUAAACCUAUCUACGUGUAGAUAGCUGAAGGUACCGUACGAAUAAGCACCGGCUAACUCCGUG